AUCAACUAUACUGGAGGUCAACUAUAUUGGAGGUCAUCCAUCUCAACUAUACUGGAGGUCAUCCACCUCAAUUAUACUGUAGAUCAACUAUACUGGAGGUCAACUAUACUGGAGGUCAUCCACCUCAAUUAUACUGUAGAUCAACUAUACUGGAGGUCAACUAUACUGGAGGUCAUCCACCUCAAUUAUACUGUAGAUCAACUAUACUGGAGGUCAACUAUACUGGAGGUCAUCCAUCUCAACUAUACUGGAGGUCAUCCAUCUCAACUAUACUGGAGGUCAACUAUACUGGAGGUCAUCCAUCUCAACUAUACUGGAGGUCAUCCAUCUCAACUAUACUGGAGGUCAUCUACCUCAAUUAUACUGGAGAUCAACUAUACUAGAGGUCAUCCACCUCAACUAUACCGGAGGUCAUCCAAAUACUGGAGGGCAACUAUACUGGAGGUCAUCCACCUCAACUAUACUGGAGUACAUCCAUCUCAACUAUACAGGAGGUCAACUAUACUGGAGGUCAUCCACCUCAACUAUACUGGGGGUCAUCCAUCUCAACUAUACUGGAGGUCUUCCAUCUCAAGUAUACUGAAGGUCAUCCACCUCAACUAUACUGGAGGUCAUCCAUCUCAACUAUACUGGAGGUCAUCCACCUCAACUAUACCGGAGGUUAUCCAUCUCAACUAUACUGGAGGUCAACUAUACUGGAGGUCAUCCACCUCAACUAUACUGGGGGUCAUCCAUCUCAACUAUACUGGAGGUCUUCCAUCUCAACUAUACUGGAGGUCAUCCAUCUCAACUAUACUGGAGGUCAUUCAUCUCAACUAUACUGGAGGUCAACUAUACUGGAGGUCAUCCAUCUCAACUAUACUGGAGGUCAUCCAUCUCAACUAUACUGGAGAUCAUCCAUCUCAACUAUACUGGAGGUCAACUAUACUGGAGGUCAUCCACCUAAACUAUACUGGAGGUCAUCCACCUAAACUAUACUGGAGGUCAUCCAUCUCAAUUAUACUGGAGGUCAACUAUACUGGAGGUCAACUAUACUUGAGGUCAUCCAUCUCAACUACACUGGAGGUCAUCCAUCUCAAAUAUACUGGAGGAAAUACCAUGUCUCAGCCUCCAGUAUUUAUGCUGCAUUAG
RNAcentral lists this long non-coding RNA (1131 nucleotides) under Oncorhynchus mykiss (rainbow trout). Its description in RNAcentral is "lncRNA (ENSOMYG00000074437.1)". The record is from RNAcentral. Lineage: Eukaryota; Metazoa; Chordata; Actinopteri; Salmoniformes; Salmonidae.